This 497-nucleotide ribosomal RNA is filed under the name uncultured bacterium. RNAcentral's name for it is "partial 16S ribosomal RNA". It matches the Rfam family "Bacterial small subunit ribosomal RNA", at positions 28 to 507 of the family's 1533-position model. The record is from RNAcentral.
GAUGAACGCUGGCGGCGUGCCUAAUACAUGCAAGUCGAGCGAACGGACGAGAAGCUUGCUUCUCUGAUGUUAGCGGCGGACGGGUGAGUAACACGUGGAUAACCUACCUAUAAGACUGGGAUAACUUCGGGAAACCGGAGCUAAUACCGGAUAAUAUUUUGAACCGCAUGGUUCAAAAGUGAAAGACGGUCUUGCUGUCACUUAUAGAUGGAUCCGCGCUGCAUUAGCUAGUUGGUAAGGUAACGGCUUACCAAGGCAACGAUGCAUAGCCGACCUGAGAGGGGGAUCGGCCACACUGGAACUGAGACAUGGUCCAGACUCCUACGGGAGGCCGCAGUAGGGAAUCUUCCGGAAUGGGCGCAAGCCUGACGGAGCUACGCCGCGUGAGUGAUGAAGGUCUACGGAUCGUAAAACUCUGUUAUUAGGGAAGAACAAAUGUGUAAGUAACUAUGCACGUCUUGACGGUACCUAAUCAGAAAGCCACGGCUAACUACGUG